RNAcentral lists this ribosomal RNA (468 nucleotides) under uncultured bacterium. RNAcentral describes it as "partial 16S ribosomal RNA". It matches the Rfam family "Bacterial small subunit ribosomal RNA", at positions 28 to 507 of the family's 1533-position model. The record is from RNAcentral.
GACGAACGCUGGCGGCGUGCUUAACACAUGCCAGUCGAACGGAAAGGCCCUGCUUUUGUGGGGUGCUCUAGUGGCGAACGGGUGAGUAACACGUGAGUAACCUGCCCUUGACUUUGGGAUAACUUCAUGAAACUGGGUCUAAUACCGGAUAGGAGCUCCUGCUGCAUGGUGGGGGUUGGAAAGUUUCGGCGGUUGGGGAUGGACUCGCGGCUUAUCAGCUUGUUGGUGGGGUAGUGGAUUACCAAGGCUUUGACGGGUAGCCGGCCUGAGAGGGUGACCGGACACAUUGGGAUUGAGAUACGGCCCAGACUCCUACGGGAGGCAGAAGUGGGGAAUAUUGCACAAUGGGCGGAAGCAUGAUGCAGCAAAGCCGCGUGCGGGAUGACGGCAUUCGGGUUGUAAACCGCUUUCGCCUGUGACGAAGCGUGAGUGACGGUAAUGGGUAAAGAAGCACCGGCUAACUACGUG